RNAcentral lists this ribosomal RNA (263 nucleotides) under uncultured bacterium. RNAcentral describes it as "partial 16S ribosomal RNA". It matches the Rfam family "Bacterial small subunit ribosomal RNA", at positions 534 to 793 of the family's 1533-position model. The record is from RNAcentral.
GCGAGCGUUAAUCGGAAUUACUGGGCGUAAAGCGCAUGCAGGUGGUUUGUUAAGUCAGAUGUGAAAGCCCCGGGGCUCAACCUCGGAAUUGCAUUUGAAACUGGCAGACUAGAGUACUGUAGAGGGGGGUAGAAUUUCAGGUGUAGCGGUGAAAAUGCGUAGAGAUCUGAAGGAAUACCGGUGGCGAAGGCGGCCCCCCUGGACAGAUACUGACACUCAGAUGCGAAAGCGUGGGGAGCAAACAGGAUUAGAUACCCUGGUAG